UAGGGAAUAUUGGCCAAUGGAUGGAAGUCUGAACCAGCCAUGCCGCGUGCAGGAAGAAGGCCUUCUGGGUUGUAAACUGCUUUUGCCAGGGGCUAAAAGGCCGGUGCGCCGGAAAUUGAAAGUACCUGGUGAAUAAGCCACGGCUAACUACGUGCCAGCAGCCGCGGUAAUACGUAGGUGGCAAGCGUUGUCCGGAUUUAUUGGGUUUAAAGGGUGCGUAGGCGGCUUAUUAAGUCAGUGGUGAAAUAUCGCAGCUUAACUGUGAGGGUGCCAUUGAUACUGAUGAGCUUGAGUACAGAUGAGGUAGGCGGAAUUGACGGUGUAGCGGUGAAAUGCAUAGAUAUCGUCAAGAACACCUAUAGCGAAGGCAGCUUACUAAGCUGUAACUGACGCUGAGGCACGAAAGUGUGGGGAUCAAACAGGAUUAGAUACCCUGGUAGUCCACACUGUAAACGUUGAUAACUCGCUGUUUGCGAUACACAG
Molecule: ribosomal RNA, 483 nt
Filed under: uncultured Bacteroidota bacterium
Lineage: Bacteria; Pseudomonadati; Bacteroidota
Description: bacterial SSU rRNA
Rfam family: Bacterial small subunit ribosomal RNA
Source: RNAcentral